CCACCCCCCCGCCCGUCAAGCCGCCUCGCUCCUCGAUCGGGGGGGUGUCCGUGGACAGCGGGAUGACGGGGGGCGGAGUCACGGCUCCGGAGCUGCUGGUGCAUCAGAAGCUGGAGGAGACGAGCGCCUCGCUGGCCGCCGCGCUGCAGAUCGUGGAGGAUAAGAUCCUGAGGCAGGAGGACUCCAUGGAAGAGCAGAAGACGACGGUCAGCAUCCUGGACGAUAUCGGCAGCAUGUUCGACGACCUCGCCGACCAACUGGACGCCAUGCUGGAGUAACCAUGGAAACAGACUCUGACGGCACAAUCUCUCUCUCUUCCUCUCUUCAUCCUCCUCUCUGAUGAUGAUGAUGAUGAUGGAUGAAGAGAGAGACACUUUAAGAGAGAGGGUAGAUACAAAAGGACCAAAAACAAAGACUGACGUGGAGAGAGAAGAAUAUUAAAAAAAAAGCCUGCAAUCAAACCGCGGGUGUUUUCCACUCCUGACGGCGAAACAAAAACUAAUCGAAGCACCACCUGUGUGCUGAAUCAUAGUCUGGUAUGUGUACAUUCUAAGCAUGGAGAGUUUAUAUCUACUGAAAAAGUCCUGCAUUAGCACAGUAAUAUAUGAUAAUAAUAAUAAUAUAACGAUAAAUAUGAAGCUCUUGGUUUGAUGUCUGUGUGGAACCUCUGGUGUUGUGACCAUGUGAAAGGACUCGGAGGAAAGAUUUGUAUCCGUGACCAAAACAAGCUCCUGAGGUGUGUGUGUGUGACAGUGUGUGUGUGACAAUGUGUGUGUGUGUGUGUUUGAGACGGAUGUGUGCUUGUGAAUUGUUGGAAUUUCAGGAUUGAGUUUCCUGUCCUGGCUGCGGUCAUACACUCUGCUCCAUCCUCAUUAUUUCCGCCCCCUCCAAA
Long non-coding RNA from Trematomus bernacchii (emerald rockcod), 892 nucleotides. RefSeq lists it as uncharacterized. The transcript is spliced from 2 exons. NCBI's taxonomy places the organism in Eukaryota, Metazoa, Chordata, Actinopteri, Perciformes, Nototheniidae. The record is from RefSeq and is a predicted model, not a curated record.